Molecule: small RNA, 31 nt
Filed under: Arabidopsis thaliana (thale cress)
Lineage: Eukaryota; Viridiplantae; Streptophyta; Magnoliopsida; Brassicales; Brassicaceae
Description: ATSL307550
Source: RNAcentral
UAAAUAAAAUUGUAAAAAAAAAAACCAAAAA